GGGCAUGGUAACAAACUAUACUAUUUUAUUUAAAGCCACCAAAUAUAAAUUUUGAAAAUUCUUUUCUACCCAUAAGUUUAUUCAACGAUUUAUGAAUCCUUUAGUAAAAGGUGUGGUCUCCCACCUAUGCUUCCAUGUAUUUUAAUGAAAAAUAUCAUAGGAUAUUUAUGUUGGGUCCCCCUUAAUUAUUUUUGGUGUCUAGCCCUAAUUGAAACACACAAACACACACCAUUUGAUAUAUAGACAAAUACAAAUAUGUAUUUUGCAAUUUGCAUGACCAAAUCACACGCAACACUUUGUUCAACUUGAUGAAUGACAAUGGACCUUCAUAAACUUAAUUAAAGAUGG
RNAcentral lists this long non-coding RNA (348 nucleotides) under Olea europaea (common olive). Its description in RNAcentral is "long non-coding RNA (OEUR_LNC012837)". Lineage: Eukaryota; Viridiplantae; Streptophyta; Magnoliopsida; Lamiales; Oleaceae. The record is from RNAcentral.